This 605-nucleotide long non-coding RNA is filed under the name Carica papaya (papaya). Its description in RNAcentral is "long non-coding RNA (CPAP_LNC014657)". The record is from RNAcentral. Lineage: Eukaryota; Viridiplantae; Streptophyta; Magnoliopsida; Brassicales; Caricaceae.
UGAGGGUAGUUCCUCCUCUUCUCUGUUAGAUGGAACAAGGAUGAGAUGCCUCACACGUGUAAACCUCCCCCUUCUCUUCUCUUCUCUUCUUGGCCAUAAAGGUUGUGAGCCAAGCUUCACCUCGGCUGACCCUCACUCUUUUUUCUUGGGUGUUGCCAUGAUGUUUCUUUGACCCCCAAAACUAAUAUUAGGCUCAUACUCCUUAGUUUUUUUUAGUUUGGGCCUUGAACUCCUUUUUUGAAUUGAUCCCUUGGAUCAAGGUUAACAGGCUUCGGGAUUUGGGGCUUUUGAUGGUUGGGCCAUGUUUCUUGUCUUCUUGGACAGUUCUAGGGUUAAACAUGUCUGAUGGGCCCUAGAAGAAUCUAAAAAAUUCUUUAAUCAAGCCUCUAACUCUGGGGAAUCUAUCUACGUGUGGGACUCCUUCUUCCUGCAAGAGUGGGAGUCUGCAUGGGCACGAGCGUGCACCUCUACAUAUGCGGCAUGUGCUUGUGUGCUGGAUGUGUGCACAUGAGCAUGCACAUGCUUUGUCGUGUGCAAAAAUAUGGUUAGAUGUGUUGCGCAAGCAUACCUCCUUGUCCACGUAUCCGUGGGCUUGCAGGUAAUCU